Pteropus alecto (black flying fox) is the source of this 2453-nucleotide long non-coding RNA. RefSeq lists it as uncharacterized. Lineage: Eukaryota; Metazoa; Chordata; Mammalia; Chiroptera; Pteropodidae. The transcript has 4 exons. The record is from RefSeq and is a predicted model, not a curated record.
CCACAGGUCCGGUAGCGGCCUGUCGGUUCUGCGCCCCGCGCGGAGCUGCAGAGGGCCUAGGGCUUGGGGUGCAUUCUCCGGAGCCCAGGGUCACAGCCGGGGGACGGUGCCAACGGAAGAUCCGUUUUUACGUGGCUCACUCUGGCUCUGCCACCUCUAUUUUAAAGGGACAUUUUGGGGUAAAACCAAAAAGUUCUGAGGCCCUAGCCUGUGCCCAAGACGCGCCCCUACUCUUUUCUCGCUAAAGGACCACGGAGAGCCCCGGGCGUCCCAGUGUCUGCGGUUGAGCCUCCAUUCUUUUUAUUGUUCCCAAGGGACAGUUGCCUGACCGUUCACUUGUAAACCAAAAUCUUGUGAAAAUCUGCACAAAGGAACUGGGAAGAAGCCAAGGCAGUUAAACCACUUAACCUAGCGGUCCCCAAUCUUUCUAGCACCAGUGACUUGCGCUCCUAUGAGAAUCUAACGCCUGAUGAUCUGAGGUGGAGCUGAGGCAGUGAUGCUAGUGUUGAGAAGUGGCUGCAAAUACAGCUGAAGCUUCGCUUGCUUGCCCGCUGCUCACCUCCUACUAUGCGGCCCGGUUCCUAACAGGCCACAAACUGGUACCCAUCUGCGGCCCAGGGGUUGGGACCCCUGGCUUAGCCAUUCCUCAUCUGGCCUUCAGGGGUCCUCCACCUAAUUCCCUUUCAGCCCCCACAAGGCAACUCUUUGAAGACCUGCAACUGAAUCUCAUUUUUACGAUUGGAAGGAUUAAGUCUGAUGUAGCUCUUCUUCCUGUGACUGAGCCGGCAGACCCUCCACAGCUCCAUGCAUAAGUUAUGAGGUUUAGUUGUUGGCAGCACUGUCUGUUACGUCGACAGCAGCAUCGCCUAACAGUUGCUGGAGAAGCUACAAUCUCAAACUACAUUGUGGCUGUAAACAGACUCUUGCUGCUGGUCAGAAGCAGCAAACUGGAUUUCUUGCAUCGAGAGUGAACGCGGUCAUCUGCUCUUUGGCUUAGAGCAAGGAAAGUGUCCUCCCAUCAAGGGAGUUCAUCCUGAAGGUUGACUGCAGGAAAGAUCCCGGGGAGCAGACACUGAGGACAGGACUGUGGAGUUGGAGGAAUCACAAGCCAGCCAGUGAUGAGUGCCCUGUCCUUACCGCUGGAAGAGAGAGAGCCUUCCCCACUGGAUGACAUCAGCCCCAUGAUUCAGAACGAUGCCAUCGAAAGGCUCAUCUCACCGAUGAUGGUGCAGCUUUGCCACCUGAUCAUCACCAUGGGGAGGAGUGACCUGGGGGGUGACGCGUUCACCUCUUUGGGGAAGACGGCAGAGGAGCUGGCUCGGGCUAGUGAUGAGUUUGUGCAAGUUGCCAAAAGGUAACUAUUUCCAAGAAUCUGACCUGUUUGCACUUAUGCACACACAGGUAGAGAGAGAAAGAGAGAAAUUAUAAAGCAAAUGUGGCAAAAAUGAGGACAAUUGGUGAAUCUGGUUGUUACUGGAGUUUGUUGUAUUUUUGCAACUUUUUGGGAAGUUUGAAAUUUUAUAAAAGUAAAAAGUUACAAAAAUAUUGUUGAAGAAAGCUCACACUUAAAAGUUAAGUGAGUCCUCAAAAAAAUUAAAAAUAGAAUGACCAUGUGAUCCAGCAAUUCCCCUGUAGGUGUAUACUCCAAAAAAUGAAAGGAAGGACUCAGACAGAUACCCCCAUGUUCGGAGCAGUAUCAUUCACCACAACCAAAAAGUGGAAGCAACCCAAGUGUCCACUGAUGGCUGAAUGGACAAACAGAAUGUGUACACACAUUCAAUGGAAUAUUACUCAGCCUUAAAAAAGAAGGAAAUUCUGACACAGGCUACAACUUGGAUGAACCUUAAAGACAUGAUGCUGAGUGAAAUAAGCCAGUCACAAAAGGGCACAUUACUGUAUGACUCCACUUACGUGAGGUACCUAGAGUGUCAGAUUCAUAGAGACAGAAAGCAGAUGGUGGGAGCCAGGGGUUGGGGUGGGUUUGCCCAUGGAGAGAUGGAAAGUUCUUUAGUUGGUACAGAGUUUCAGUCUGGGAAGAUGAAAAAAACUGUAGAGGUGGAUGGUUGCACAUUGUGAAUAUACUUCGUGCCGCUGGACUGUACAGUUAAAAAUGGGUAAGAUGGCAAAUGUUCUGUCACGUGUAUUUGAACACACACAAAAGAUAUGGAGUUGGGAAACUGUACAUAGUAUGGCCCCAAUUAUGAAAUAAAAAAAUGUAUGGAAAUAAACUUUCCAAAAUAUUUAUAAUAAUUUACUUAGGAGUUUGAGGAUAGAUUGAUUUUAUACUAAUACUCUUUUGCACAUUCUAAGUCUUCUAACACAAUGCAAUUAUUAAUUUAAAAAAAAAGGCAUGGCGAAUUUUGAGAUACAUCCAACAUCUUUUUUGUUUGUUUCAAUAUAAAUGCCUUUGCUGUAUUGUCUGUUCCGGGCAAAUAAAUUAUUGAUAAAGAGAA